AUGGGGCGGUACUUCCGGCCCCUCACUUCCGGCCCCAGCGCUGCGGCGGUCGGUGUGGCAGCGCCGUUCGGGCCCGUUCCGCACCGCGCCCGCCCCUCCGCCCGCAUGCAGCGCCGCGACGACCCCUCCGCCCGCAUGGGCCGGGGUCCGGGGGGGCCCGGAGGCGCCCGCCAAGGGGGGCCCAAUCAGCGGCGGUCGCCCCGAGGCGGGGGGGGGCGUGGGUCCGGGGCCCAGCAGCCGCAGCCGCUGCUGACCGGCGGAGCGGCCGCCGGCUCCUCGGGCGCGCAGGGCCCCGCCGCCGCCUCCCCUGCCCCGCUGCUGCCCGGGGGCGCCGGCAAGAUGGAGCCCGAGAACAAAUACCUGCCCGAGCUGAUGGCUGAGAAGGACAGCCUGGACCCGUCCUUCACGCACGCCAUGCAGCUCCUCAGCGCAGAAAUUGAAAAAAUUCAGAAGGGUGAAACAACAAAGAAGGAUGAGGAAGAGAACUACCUGGAUUUAUUUUCUCACAAGAAUAUGAAACUGAAAGAACGAGUUCUGAUCCCUGUCAAACAGUACCCCAAGUUCAACUUUGUUGGAAAGAUUUUGGGACCUCAAGGUAACACCAUCAAGAGGCUUCAGGAAGAAACUGGUGCUAAGAUCUCUGUGCUUGGGAAGGGUUCAAUGCGAGAUAAGGCAAAGGAGGAAGAGCUGCGUAAAGGGGGAGAUCCUAAAUAUGCUCAUCUAAAUAUGGAUUUGCAUGUCUUCAUUGAAGUGUUUGGACCCCCUUGUGAAGCAUAUGCUCUGAUGGCUCAUGCCAUGGAAGAAGUCAAGAAGUUCCUUGUCCCAGAUAUGAUGGAUGAUAUCUGUCAGGAGCAAUUCUUGGAGCUCUCCUAUCUGAACGGUGUACCAGAGCCGACUCGUGGCCGAGGAGGCCCUGUGCGGGGAAGGGGAGCAGCUCCACCACCGCCUCCACCUGUUCCAAGGUACCUUUCCCAAAAGCAUGGACCUGGAAAUGCUGCAUCUUGCUCAGAGUGGUGCUGCGAGAUCAGGGGGCGCGGUGUUGGGCCUCCCCCUCCGCCGCCUCCUCCCCGGGGGGCCCUGGUGCGAGGAGCCCCGGUGCGGGGUGCCAUUGCCAGGGGAGCAGCUGUAGCCCGUGGAGUUCCGCCCCCCCCAGCAGUCCGGGGAGCUCCUGCCCCCAGAGCGCGUGCGGCCGGCAUCCAGCGGAUACCGCUUCCUCCUCCUCCAGCACCAGAAACCUACGAGGAAUACGGUUAUGAUGAUGCAUAUGCAGACCAGAGCUAUGAGGGCUAUGAAGGCUACUACAGCCAGGGCCAAGGGGACACAGAAUACUAUGAUUAUGGACACGGGGAGGCACAGGAAACCUAUGAAGCUUAUGGCCAAGAUGACUGGAACGGCACCAGGCCCUCCCUGAAGGCCCCCCCAGCCCGGCCGGUGAAGGGCGCCUACAGGGAGCACCCAUACGGACGUUACUAAAAGCAAAAUGAGGGAAAAAUAGCAGUUAUGAGCAAACAGUUGUUACUGAUUCUUGUAUCUCCCAGGAUUCCUGUUGCUUUGCCCACACCAGACAAGAGCGCGGAGCGGCGGACGAGGGCUGAAGGCGAGGAGGGGCAGCGCUCUGGAUCGCUGGAAGCCUGAGCUCCAGAAAUCAGAGAACAAAGAAAUAAGCCUUUGUGCUGCUGGAGGAGUGUAACGGCUUCAAAAGACUGCUGUGCAAAGCCCCGGGAGCGGGACGUGGAAGGACAUGAGACUUAUUUUAUAUGGAAAUGCAGAGCUACCCAACGAGCUUCUCUUAAGAGCGUUAGGAACGAGAAGAUGGUUAUAUGUGGAAAUGGUGCAGCACAAUGAGAUUACCCUCAAUUCUUUGCCUUUAACUUGAAAAUUGGAGCCGUAAUUCUGUUAGGGAAAGACGUCGCAUCUGGAAUUCGGGGGGCUGUUUGUGUAAUGCAUCUCCAUUACAACGUAACUGAAACAUCAGUUCAUGUGCUGGUGUUCCAGUCUUUGCCAUUUCUUUCUUAAUAGGCACAACUUUUAUAUCAAGUGGAAAAGAUUUGAUAGAGAUCAUCUGUUAUGAUGCAGUUUUUUACCAGUAGGAUCUUGUGGCACCGCCUUUGGAGUUGUACAGCUUGCUUGUGCAUCACAUUUAUUGCAUGUUUAUGUGAAAAUGUUGAAUGUUAUGGGGGAAUGUAAAUCUUAAUAUAUUGAAAAUAACUGCAUAUGCUAAAAAUAUUUCAAAAACAUGUUCUGCAUCAGAUAGCUUCCUCCCUCUCAAAGCAUCGCUCCACGCAGAUUGUAGCCGAGAGUCUGCAGAAGCUAAUUGGAGAUCCCAGAAUAGCCGUCAGCGUCGGAUGUGUCUCUGAGAUGCUGUAAUGAGGCACGGUCCGGGGUGAUGCAGGGCUCACAGAAAUAUGUGAGGGUGGAGAUUCCUCGGAGUGCUGGAGGCCGAGUCACCCAAUAACCUCCCCUUUUCUGCUCACAGCCGCUGGAGAUGGCACUGGUUCUGCUGGCUGUUAGCAAACGAGUGCAGAUGACAUUUCACCUCUGGACUUGCCCGUAGAACUAAUCCACAUCUCAUUGUUUGUGGGAUGGUGGCCAAGUCCAUACACAAGAUAAAAGCCCCCACAGCGUGGUGUCCAGCAGCAGUCACAUCUCCCUGUGGAAGUGUUUCCCAGCAGUGCUGUUUGUAGGCUUGGUGUCCUAAAGACACCCUCUGCUACAGAGCUCUCCCUGCUCAGCAGUCCAUCUUCUCUGGCUCCUGCUCUGGGAGGCUGCUGCUGCUUCAGCCUCUGGUCCAGCAUUUGGUACUCAGGCUGCCUUGCUUGGUGCCGUUACACAGCUGGACUCUGUCCUCUUUCAGUGGGAAGUCACCACGUGUCGUGGUUCCCAGCAUCGAGCAGCAGCUGAGCUCCAGCUGGGACUGCAGAGAUGUCCCAAGCAGUUCUUCCUGGAAGGAGACUGUUGUACUGCGUGUAUUCCUUACCCCUGGUUUCAAGUUGCUGUUUAGAUUAUUAGAUAAAGCAAAUGACUGCGAGCUUUAUUUCAUAAUUUAUUGAUGGUAAUUUUUAUGUAGCAUGGCCCUCUGUAAAACUCCAUCUUUGGCAAGUUGGAUCCAGCUGAGGUUUAGGAGCACAGCUGCAUUCCUUGCUUGGCUCUUAGAGCAGAUGAUUUCUCUUGUACAGAAUGAGUUUUCAAAUUUGUAUGAGAGCAUCUGUCAUGGACAGAGCCAGGAAAAGCAAUUGAGAUGUGCACCUCUUCCUCCCUGCCCCACACCGCUGCUCCUGAAGGGCCCACGUGGGCAGGGGGCAGCUGGCACAGAC
This is an RNA transcript of Lagopus leucura (white-tailed ptarmigan), 3314 nucleotides long. It is a transcript of the gene named KH RNA binding domain containing, signal transduction associated 1, with no coding region annotated. The transcript has 11 exons. Lineage: Eukaryota; Metazoa; Chordata; Aves; Galliformes; Phasianidae. The record is from RefSeq and is a predicted model, not a curated record.